Molecule: ribosomal RNA, 233 nt
Filed under: uncultured bacterium
Lineage: Bacteria
Description: partial 16S ribosomal RNA
Rfam family: Bacterial small subunit ribosomal RNA
Source: RNAcentral
UCCACGCCGUAAACGAUGAUCACUCGCUGUGUGCGAUAUAUUGUACGUGACUGAGCGAAAGCAUUAAAGUGAUCCACCUGGGGGAGUACGUCGGCAAACGAUGAAACUCAAAGGAAUUGACGGGGGCCCGCACAAGCGGAGGAACAUGUGGUUUAAUUCGAUGAUACGCGAGGAACCUUACCUGGGCUUAAAUGUAGCGUGACUUUUCUGGAAACAGAAAUUUCCCUUCGGGC